Molecule: unclassified non-coding RNA, 235 nt
Filed under: Symbiodinium sp. CCMP832
Lineage: Eukaryota; Dinophyceae; Suessiales; Symbiodiniaceae
Description: sequence contains ITS2
Rfam family: Eukaryotic large subunit ribosomal RNA (bases 163-235)
Source: RNAcentral
UCUUUCUUUUCUGCUGCUCUUGUUAUCAGGAGCAGUGCUGCUGCAUGCUUCUGCAAUUGGCACUGGCAUGCUAAGUACCAAGUUUCGCUUGCUGUUGUGACUGAUCAACAUCUCAUGUCGUUUCAGUUGGCGAAACAAAGGCUUGUGUGUUCCAACACUUCCUAGCAUGAAGUCAGACAAGUGAACCCGCCGAAUUUAAGCAUAUAAGUAAGCGGAGGAAAAGGAACUAAACAGG